Molecule: non-coding RNA, 284 nt
Organism: Pelobates cultripes (western spadefoot toad)
Lineage: Eukaryota; Metazoa; Chordata; Amphibia; Anura; Pelobatidae
Source: the annotation of a GenBank genome assembly
CUAUGGUAGCAUGAAGAAGUGGAAGCCUGGAGAGCUGAAGGGUAUUGAUCACUGCCUCCGAGAGACCCAGUAAGAGUCUUUCUUUCUCAAGACCCAUACCCCCAGUUUGAGGCGUUCCAGAUGAGGAUGGAAUACAGGGCCCUGCGUUAGCAGAUCCUCCAUCACUGGAAGAGGCCAAGGUUGUUCCUGGCUCAUCAUGGCCAAUAGGGGAAACCACGGCCUCCGAGGCCAAAUUACGGCAAUGACUUUCUUGCCUUCCGACCAAACCUUCCGUAGGAACCUGG